GUUAUGUUAUUUUGAUUCUCUUAAGAAUCAAAUGUUUUUGACCCUAGGGUAAAGAGUUAUUACCCAAGAGUAUGAAUCUUGCACUUCAGAAAUCAUAUUUGUAAAUGUAAUGGGUUGUAGUCAGGGGACUUCUGGGGAUACGGUUAGUUCAAGAUAAGAUGUGCCAUAUCAGCUGGCAAUAUAGUGGAAAAAGAAUUUAGAUCAUAUUUCUUCCAAAUCCUACCCCAGAAUAUUUUUUCUGCCAACUAUGACUUAGGUGAAAUUGGUAUGAAAGUACCAUAAUCCGAGGGCUUCUAAACAAAAGAAAUUUAUUUCUCACAGUUCUGGAGGUUAGAAGUCCAAGAUCAGGAUGUCAGCAAGGUCCAGUUCUGCUGAGAGCCUCUUCCAGGUAGCAGACAGCCAACUUCUCAUCUUCUCAUGGUAUCUCACAACGGAGAGCUAAAGAGCUAGGUUUCUUUUAUAAGGGAAACUACUCCCAUUCUCAAGGGCUCAUCCCUGUGAUCUAAUCAUCACUUUGGGGGUUAGGAUUUCAAUAUAUAAAUUUGGGGGAGACACAAACAUUCAGUCCAUAAUAAACUAGCAACAAGCAACAUUUAAUGAAAUAAAACAUCUAGUUUUGAAAUAUUAAUCACAUUUUCACUUCUCCCCACAUUCAUUCCAGGCCAAUCACAGCUGUGCAUUUUGUUAAUCCUGUUUUGAAUUCUUUUUAACAUAAAGAAUCAUUUGAACCAAUUAUACUAAAUGUCAGUGACUGUAUGUGGAAUCAAUACUGAGAGAAGGCAGCUGGCCAGUAGCUAAGGCAGAAGGGAUCCACCCCACUUAAAGAACCAGAAAGAACAAACAUCUUCCUAGCAACCAAGGGAAGUUUUUGUUUUGUUUUGUUUUGUUUUGUUUUGUUGUGUUUACCUCACAAGGUUCAGUGGUUGUAUGUACUCCCUGUAGUAAAAGGCACAGAAUAUAGGCUCAAGCCAUCCUAGCGCUUUGCCCUAGCAACAAACCCUACACGUGGCCAACUGGCCUCUGUGCACACAUGCUGCUGUUUCUGACACAGAAUAAAGACCUUUUGCAAAUUGACCAUGAAC
This 1082-nucleotide long non-coding RNA is filed under the name Marmota monax (woodchuck). The record is from RNAcentral. Lineage: Eukaryota; Metazoa; Chordata; Mammalia; Rodentia; Sciuridae.